This 692-nucleotide long non-coding RNA is filed under the name Scleropages formosus (Asian bonytongue). RNAcentral describes it as "lncRNA (ENSSFOG00015033290.1)". The record is from RNAcentral. Lineage: Eukaryota; Metazoa; Chordata; Actinopteri; Osteoglossiformes; Osteoglossidae.
AGAAUAAGCCAGCAAACGGGUCUGUCCAUGGCCGCUGGAGAGGUAUCUUCAGCCGAUCGAAAAUUGACCAGAGAAUCCACGCAAGAACAAGAGCGCAGCGCUCGGGGAAUCAGGCGGAUUUUCCCGUGGACACUUCCCGAUGUCUGUCACUGAGAGCGGAUCCUCCACGCAGACACGGAGAAGUCCCUCCUUCACUGGCAGAUUGGCUCUGAUUUCCACGUACUCGCCGGAGAGGCGCCUCGUUCAGAGCUGAAUUCACAGAGAGGCUGCUUUCCAAGAACCCGCUGCGAGCUUCAUUCACUGGAGCGUCAGAUGUGGCCAGAGAGGAGCUCGCAUACACUGCUGUGACUGCAGGUCAUCUCAUGCACUCUCUCCACUCUUCUUCCACACUGAGCUCGAUCUGAUCCCUGACAACUUGCAGCGCAAAGUUCCUGCAGUUUUCAAAUUGCAGAGCCUCUUACCUUUUCCUGUCCCUCGAGUGGUGUGCCUACGGAUCGGGGAGACUGCCUAAACUCUGACACAGGCACGGGGGUUCUCCCUCCAGCUGGGGCGAAAUAAAAAACGGUGAAGAACUGCAACAGAGAGAACAUCAUGUACCCUCCUACAGCCGGGGAACACACGAAGGGUGGUGGAGACAUUCACUCUCUUCCUUUGUGCUGUUGCAUGCAUGCUGCAAUGUGCAUGAGCCACAG